AGAGUUUGAUCAUGGCUCAGGACGAACGCUGGCGGCGCGCUUAACACAUGCAAGUCGAGCGAGAACCGGGGCUUCGGCUCCGGGGAAAGCGGCGAACGGGUGAGUAACACGUGAGUAAUCCACCCUCGGUACCGGGAUAGCCCGGGGAAACCCGGAUUAAUACCGGAUGGCCCGUCUGCCCUUCGGGGCGGCCGGAAAAGGUAGCUUCGGCCUCCGACCGAGGACGAGCUCGCGGCGGAUUAGCUUGUUGGCGGGGUAACGGCCCACCAAGGCGACGAUCCGUAGCUGGUCUGAGAGGACGAUCAGCCACACUGGGACUGAGACACGGCCCAGACUCCUACGGGAGGCAGCAGUGGGGAAUCUUGCGCAAUGGGCGAAAGCCUGACGCAGCGACGCCGCGUGCGGGAAGAAGGCCUUCGGGUUGUAAACCGCUUUCAGGAGGGACGAAGCCACUCGGGUUAACAGCCCAGAGGGUGACGGUACCUCCAGAAGAAGCCCCGGCUAACUACGUGCCAGCAGCCGCGGUA
RNAcentral lists this ribosomal RNA (527 nucleotides) under uncultured Actinomycetes bacterium. RNAcentral describes it as "bacterial SSU rRNA". It matches the Rfam family "Bacterial small subunit ribosomal RNA", at positions 8 to 522 of the family's 1533-position model. Lineage: Bacteria; Bacillati; Actinomycetota; Actinomycetes. The record is from RNAcentral.